GACACCGGCGGGAACGUAAAUCUCUGGCCUCGGUAGCGCACCGCUCGCCUGAUUUUCGUCGGGCCUCACUUUUCGCUCGCCCGACCGCCGUUGAACAUGAUUCGGCACACUUCCAACCGCCGGGAUUUCUGUCAACCGUUUUCUCGUUAGCUGUGGGUCCAGCCGGUCAUAAGAUUCGAGUGGAUGAGAGUUGGACAUAAUGGGUGGACGAAGAAUAUCGAAUGUCUUCAUGGUUUCUUUCCUGUUUUGUUGAAAUUUUUGCAUUGGAGGUGUUGGAUAUUGUCUCGUGACUGUUUGAACUAUCGGAUAGAUUAACUGAAGGAUUUUUUAAAUAUUGGACGAUCGAGAUUGUAGCAGACUUUUGUGUGAAAGAGAAGGUAUCGUUGGUCGGGCAGCGGGGCGAAAAUACAAGCGGAGCAGCGUUACAGAAAAUUAUGAAACUCCCGAGUGAAUCACACUACCGC
Nomia melanderi (Alkali bee) is the source of this 464-nucleotide long non-coding RNA. RefSeq lists it as uncharacterized. Lineage: Eukaryota; Metazoa; Arthropoda; Insecta; Hymenoptera; Halictidae. The record is from RefSeq and is a predicted model, not a curated record.